This 400-nucleotide ribosomal RNA is filed under the name uncultured bacterium. RNAcentral's name for it is "bacterial SSU rRNA". It matches the Rfam family "Bacterial small subunit ribosomal RNA", at positions 975 to 1375 of the family's 1533-position model. The record is from RNAcentral.
CUGGGCUUGAACCGCUACUGACCAAGGGUAGAAAUAUCCUCUUCCCGCAAGGGACAGUAGUAGAGGUGCUGCAUGGCUGUCGUCAGCUCGUGCCGUGAGGUGUUGGGUUAAGUCCCGCAACGAGCGCAACCCUUAUUCGUAGUUGCCACCCGCAAGGGGGAACUCUACGAGGACUGCUCCGGAUAACGGAGAGGAAGGUGGGGAUGACGUCAAGUCAGCACGGCCUUUAUGUCCAGGGCUACACACGUGUUACAAUGCACGGUACAGACUGUUGCGAACCCGCGAGGGGGAGCUAAUCGGACAAAACCGUGCUCAGUUCGGAUUGCAGUCUGCAACUCGACUGCAUGAAGCUGGAAUCGCUAGUAAUGGCGCAUCAGAUCGGCGCCGUGAAUACGUUCCC